GACGAACGCUGGCGGCGUGCUUAACACAUGCAAGUCGAACGGAAAGGCCUGCUUUCCCUUGUGGAUUGCGGGUACUCGAGUGGCGAACGGGUGAGUAACACGUGAGUGAUCUGCCCCCAACUUGGGUAUAAGCCUGGGAAACUGGGUCUAAUUCCCGAAAGGACUGCAGGGUGGUGCCUGUGGUGGAAAACGAUUUUCUAGUGGUUGGGGAUGAGCUCGCGGCCUAUCAGCUUGUUGGUGGGGUAAUGGCCUACCAAGGCGGCGACGGGUAGCCGGCCUGAGAGGGUGGACGGCCACAUUGGGACUGAGAUACGGCCCAGACUCCUACGGGAGGCAGCAGUGGGGAAUAUUGCACAAUGGGCGGAAGCCUGAUGCAGCGACGCCGCGUGGGGGAUGACGGCCUUCGGGUUGUAAACUCCUUUCGACCGCGAGGAAGCCACCUGGUUGGAAGGGUGGUGACGGUAGUGGUAGAAGAAGCACCGGCUAACUACGUG
This 494-nucleotide ribosomal RNA is filed under the name uncultured bacterium. RNAcentral describes it as "partial 16S ribosomal RNA". It matches the Rfam family "Bacterial small subunit ribosomal RNA", at positions 28 to 507 of the family's 1533-position model. The record is from RNAcentral.